RNAcentral lists this ribosomal RNA (489 nucleotides) under uncultured Arcocellulus. RNAcentral describes it as "bacterial SSU rRNA". It matches the Rfam family "Bacterial small subunit ribosomal RNA", at positions 96 to 615 of the family's 1533-position model. The record is from RNAcentral. Lineage: Eukaryota; Bacillariophyta; Thalassiosirophyceae; Cymatosirales; Cymatosiraceae.
UGGCGGACGGGUGAGUAACACGUGAGAAUUUGCCUUUAGGAGGGGGAUAACAGAGUGAAAACGCUGCUAAUACCCCAUAUGCUUUCGAGUGAAAUGGAUUUAUUCGCCUAAAGAGAAGCUCGCGGCUGAUUAGCUUGUUGGUAAGGUAAUGGCUUACCAAGGCGACGAUCAGUAUCUGGUUUGAGAGGACGAUCAGACACACUGGAACUGAGACACGGUCCAGACUCCUACGGGAGGCAGCAGUGGGGAAUUUUCCGCAAUGGGCGAAAGCCUGACGGAGCAAUACCGCGUGAGGGAUGACUGCCUAUGGGUUGUAAACCUCUUUUCUCAGGGAGGAAAUCAAUGACGUUACCUGAGGAAUAAGCAUCGGCUAACUCCGUGCCAGCAGCCGCGGUAAGACGGAGGAUGCAAGUGUUAUCCGGAAUCACUGGGCGUAAAGCGUCUGUAGUUGGCUUAACAAGUCACCUGUUAAAUCUUGAAGCUCAACUU